Molecule: ribosomal RNA, 217 nt
Filed under: Klebsiella pneumoniae
Lineage: Bacteria; Pseudomonadati; Pseudomonadota; Gammaproteobacteria; Enterobacterales; Enterobacteriaceae
Description: partial 16S ribosomal RNA
Rfam family: Bacterial small subunit ribosomal RNA
Source: RNAcentral
UGGGGAAUAUUGCACAAUGGGCGCAAGCCUGAUGCAGCCAUGCCGCGUGUGUGAAGAAGGCCUUCGGGUUGUAAAGCACUUUCAGCGGGGAGGAAGGCGAUAAGGUUAAUAACCUUGGCGAUUGACGUUACCCGCAGAAGAAGCACCGGCUAACUCCGUGCCAGCAGCCGCGGUAAUACGGAGGGUGCAAGCGUUAAUCGGAAUUACUGGGCGUAAA